This 976-nucleotide long non-coding RNA is filed under the name Struthio camelus australis. RNAcentral's name for it is "lncRNA (ENSSCUG00000010462.1)". Lineage: Eukaryota; Metazoa; Chordata; Aves; Struthioniformes; Struthionidae. The record is from RNAcentral.
UUUCUUCUUCCUCUUAUUUAAUUUUUUUUUCCUAGGGAAGCGUCAUUUGUACAAAUUGCCAGUCUGCACCAGGGAGAGACCUCAGAAGGGAGACCUGGAGCCUUCCCUGCUUUUCAUGUGAGCGGAUGCCCCUUUUAUUUCUGAGCAAGGAGUAAGUGGAGAAGAAAGGAGCCCCUGUCAGCUGCGGAGGGAGACAAAUUGCUUCCCGCAGCCAGAGGUGGCUCAGCUCUAACGAUCACCCAUUCCCAGAGGGAAAGGCUGAGACUGGGGCUCGCUGGAACCAAACGGCUCCAUUCGCAACUCAACAAUAAUUCACCCUAACUCAAAGCACCAAGGCUGGGAGCCAAAAGGCACAGAAAGGGACAAUCAAUCGCACCAGGAAAUGACACGCUCCAGCACUGCUGCUUCAGCUUUCGUCUAGGGCAGGCACACGUGUUUGGUUACGCAGACUGCCCUAACGGAUCUCAAAGGUCCCUCCUGACUGUCCGAUCUCCGCUCCACGGUUACAGCCCCUCGCUGGCAUAGGCCUCUACAACGCUUCUGCUGAAGAUCUCCAGUUAGCGGCAAUUCCUCUUGCAGCUUAUUUCUACCACGAGGUUGCACACCACAUUGCUUAUAAGCAUGUACAAGUCAGUGGCAGAUAGAUUCUCCUCUCCCUGUUUGGCUUUUCUCAGCUGGCUACCAUCGAGCUGAUUUCCCCCUCCUCCUGUGCUUUGCCAUGGAGUCUAAUUGACACAUCUGUUUUUAAAAAGAGGAACAGUAGUAUCGUCUUUGCCUUCCACUGCAACAUGCACAGCUAAUGCAGCCUCUGCGGGGAUAAGACGGCACCAAGGGCAGUGAGCAUGCACACGAUCUAACGGAGCUUGCUGCUGGAGCACUACUGCCAAGCCAGCCCAGCUACAGUGUUUCUGUGGGGCCUACAAAGAAGGGGAGACAGAAAAAAAAAAAAAAACAGCACGUUAAAAAGUUUUUUGAA